This 650-nucleotide ribosomal RNA is filed under the name uncultured bacterium. RNAcentral describes it as "bacterial SSU rRNA". It matches the Rfam family "Bacterial small subunit ribosomal RNA", at positions 69 to 716 of the family's 1533-position model. The record is from RNAcentral.
GGGAGGCGCGAUGAUGCCUCUGCCGACGAUCGGCGCACGGGUGCGUAACGCGUAUGGAACCUGCCCCUGUCAGGGGAUAGCCCAGAGAAUUUGCCUUAAUGCCCCAUGGCAUCCAAUUACCGCAUGGUGAUUUGAUUAAUAAUUUAUCGGACAGGAAUGGCCCUGCGUACCCGUAGCUUGUUGGUGGGGUAACGGCCCACCAAGGCCACAAUGGUAACGGGCCCUGAAAGGGGAAUCCCCCCCACUGGUACUGAGACACGUACCAAACUCCUACGGGAGGCAGCAGUGAGGAAUAUUGGACAAUGGCCGGAAGGUUGAUCCAGCCAUGCCGCGUGCAGGAUGACGGCCCUAUGGUUUGUAAACUGCUUUUACACGGGAAGAAACCUCCCCUCGUGAGGCGAGCUGACGGUACCGUGAGAAUAAAGACCGGCUAACUCCGUGCCAGCAGCCGCGGUAAUACUUAGGGUCCGAGCGUUAUACGGAAUCAUUGGGUUUAAAGGGUCCGUAGGCGGGCCUGUAACUCAGGUGUGAAAGGCCACGGCUCAACCGUGGGACUGCCCUUGAUACUGCUGUCUCGAGUUAUAAUGGGAUUGCCGUAACAUGUGUUGUAUGUCCUCAACUGAAUAUAUAUCACAUAGAACACCGAUCGC